GACGAACGCUGGCGGCGUGCUUAACACAUGCAAGUCGAGCGGAAAGGCCCUUCGGGGUACUCGAGCGGCGAACGGGUGAGUAACACGUGAGUAACCUGCCCUUGGCUUUGGAAUAACCCU
RNAcentral lists this ribosomal RNA (120 nucleotides) under uncultured bacterium. RNAcentral's name for it is "partial 16S ribosomal RNA". It matches the Rfam family "Bacterial small subunit ribosomal RNA", at positions 28 to 150 of the family's 1533-position model. The record is from RNAcentral.